This 468-nucleotide ribosomal RNA is filed under the name uncultured bacterium. RNAcentral describes it as "partial 16S ribosomal RNA". It matches the Rfam family "Bacterial small subunit ribosomal RNA", at positions 28 to 507 of the family's 1533-position model. The record is from RNAcentral.
GACGAACGCUGGCGGCGUGCUUAACACAUGCAAGUCGAACGGAAAGGCCCUGCUUUUGUGGGGUGCUCGAGUGGCGAACGGGUGAGUAACACGUGAGUAACCUGCCCUUGACUUUGGGAUAACUUCAGGAAACUGGGGCUAAUACCGGAUAGGAGCUCCUGCUGCACGGUGGGGGUUGGAAAGUUUCGGCGGUUGGGGAUGGACUCGCGGCUUAUCAGCUUGUUGGUGGGGUAGUGGCUUACAAAGGCUUUGACGGGUAGCCGGCCUGAGAGGGUGACCGGCCACAAUGGGACUAAGAUACGGCCCAGACUCCUACGGGAGGCAGCAGGGGGGAAUAUUGCACAAUGGGCGGAAGCCUGAUGCAGCAACGCCGCGUUCGUGAUGACGGCUUUCGGGUUGUAAACCGAUUUCGCCUGUGACGAAGCGUGAGUGACGGUAAUUGGUAAAGAAGCACCGGCUAACUACGUG